CCUACGGGAGGCAGCAGUGGGGAAUAUUGGACAAUGGGCGAAAGCCUGAUCCAGCAAUGCCGCGUGAGUGAUGAAGGCCUUAGGGUUGUAAAGCUCUUUUACCCGGGAUGAUAAUGACAGUACCGGGAGAAUAAGCUCCGGCUAACUCCGUGCCAGCAGCCGCGGUAAUACGGAGGGAGCUAGCGUUAUUCGGAAUUACUGGGCGUAAAGCGCACGUAGGCGGCUUUGUAAGUUAGAGGUGAAAGCCUGGAGCUCAACUCCAGAAUUGCCUUUAAGACUGCAUCGCUUGAAUCCAGGAGAGGUGAGUGGAAUUCCGAGUGUAGAGGUAAAAUUCGUAGAUAUUCGGAAGAACACCAGUGGCGAAGGCGGCUCACUGGACUGGUAUUGACGCUGAGGUGCGAAAGCGUGGGGAGCAAACAGGAUUAGAUCCCCUUGUAGU
Molecule: ribosomal RNA, 439 nt
Filed under: uncultured Sphingomonadaceae bacterium
Lineage: Bacteria; Pseudomonadati; Pseudomonadota; Alphaproteobacteria; Sphingomonadales; Sphingomonadaceae
Description: partial 16S ribosomal RNA
Rfam family: Bacterial small subunit ribosomal RNA
Source: RNAcentral